RNAcentral lists this ribosomal RNA (497 nucleotides) under uncultured bacterium. RNAcentral describes it as "partial 16S ribosomal RNA". It matches the Rfam family "Bacterial small subunit ribosomal RNA", at positions 28 to 507 of the family's 1533-position model. The record is from RNAcentral.
GAUGAACGCUGGCGGCGUGCCUAAUACAUGCAAGUCGAGCGAACGGACGAGAAGCUUGCUUCUCUGAUGUUAGCGGCGGACGGGUGAGUAACACGUGGAUAACCUACCUAUAAGACUGGGAUAACUUCGGGAAACCGGAGCUAAUACCGGAUAAUAUUUUGAACCGCAUGGUUCAAAAGUGAAAGACGGUCUUGCUGUCACUUAUAGAUGGAUCCGCGCUGCAUUAGCUAGUUGGUAAGGUAACGGCUUACCAAGGCAACGAUGCAUAGCCGACCUGAGAGGGUGGUCGCCCCCACGAGAGGGGAGCACGGGCCCACACCCCACGGGGGGGAGCAAGUGGGAAUUCUCCCGAAGGGGGGAAAGCCCUGCAGGAGAAGCCCGGGGUGAGUAAGAAGGGUCUGCGGAUCAAAAAACUUUUUUAUGGGGAAAAAAAAUUUGUGAAAUAAACUGUACACAUCUUGGGGCUCCAAAAUAAAAAAGCCCGGGCAACCCACGUC